Molecule: long non-coding RNA, 219 nt
Filed under: Elaeis guineensis (African oil palm)
Lineage: Eukaryota; Viridiplantae; Streptophyta; Magnoliopsida; Arecales; Arecaceae
Description: long non-coding RNA (EGUI_LNC030826)
Source: RNAcentral
AAUAUGGACGGCUCCCCAUGUGCUAUGAAAUGAUAUUGCUAGGAACAAUUCUCAAAGACAUUAAUGGGACACAGGAUUCUUGAUAGUCCCAUACUCUCUCGUGGCUCCGACUUCUCAUAUAUAAAAAGGUAAACAGGGGAUCCCAAAAAGGUGCGCCUCCUCUCCCUCUCGCAAACGCUCUUUCCCACCUGUUGUGCAUGAAUUUAAUUUGAACGUCGG